CAUGUAGGCGGUUGUUUAAGUCUGAUGUGAAAGCCCUGGGCUCAACCCAGGAAGUGCAUUGGAUACUGGCCAACCUGAGUACGGGAGAGGAAAGUGGAAUUUCGAGUGUAGGGGUGAAAUCCGUAGAUAUUCGAAGGAACACCAGUGGCGAAGGCGGCUUUCUGGACCGAUACUGACGCUGAGAUGCGAAAGCGUGGGGAGCAAACA
This 207-nucleotide ribosomal RNA is filed under the name uncultured bacterium. RNAcentral's name for it is "partial 16S ribosomal RNA". It matches the Rfam family "Bacterial small subunit ribosomal RNA", at positions 568 to 774 of the family's 1533-position model. The record is from RNAcentral.